Molecule: long non-coding RNA, 285 nt
Filed under: Setaria italica (foxtail millet)
Lineage: Eukaryota; Viridiplantae; Streptophyta; Magnoliopsida; Poales; Poaceae
Description: long non-coding RNA (SITA_LNC001675)
Source: RNAcentral
ACGGUGCCCCGGUCCACGAGCUCGCGCACGCACGCCGGCGAGCCGUCGCAGCUCAGCGACGCCACGUCGCGCCACGACACGGCUCUGGCGCCCGUUGUCGUUUCUCCUGAUCCGUCCGGCUGCUCGGCGCCGCUGCUGUCGAUCUGGAUCGCCCUCCCGCCGCCCGCCGGGACGUGGCACCGGAGGAAGAGCUCGCCUCCGCUGCCGCCGCCGCAACCGAGGCCCGUGACGCUGACGGAGGUGAUCUCGCACUGGAGAUGGCAGAUGACGCCGCAAUCACCAUCC